UUCUCGUAUAUUAUCUAUUUUCAGCACAGAAAUGAACUAUCAGGAUACCAGCUCUGCCGCUCAGCAAGCGAUCUCCCUAGCAAAUAAUAUGCUGGCCUGACCACACUCAUCCUACAUCCCAGUAACUUCUCAGUAUAGUUUCUCUAAAAUUUUACAUGGGUUUAUUAGGGGGAAAGCAUUUAUGUACAAACCCCACAGCAACAAUUUGAUCCCACAAGCAGGCAACCUCUAUGGUUAAACAUGUUCUGAUUUAGAAUGCCCAUUUUAACACUACAAACUUCUCAGACCGAUGAUUUCCCUCCUCCCACUUGGCCUAUAGACAAGUUUAUGUAUCGUUCUCAGUUCCCCUUAACUCUGCCCAGUACAUAGUGCAGAGCCAAUCAACAUUAAGCAACUAAGCGAGUGAUUUCAGUCAUCCUCAGACACCUCUUUCCCACAGAUCCACCAGGUCAGCCUCUUCCGCACCUUCAAUCCUAGUUUUACCAUUGCCUGUGAUCCUGGAACCCACAUCUAAGACUACUGUAAUCUACUGCGGAAAAGCUGAAAGAUCCGACAGCAGACUAAGAAGCAUUAGAUUAGAACACCAAGGACGGUUAAUCUGCACCUAAGACAUAAAAAAGCCACAGACAACCUGGUGACAUGCCUACUGAGAGAAAACCCAAACCGCUCUGGUGUCCUGGCUGUCAGCGAGCUAUGAGAUUGAAAAAUUUCCCCAAGGAACAAGAAAUAUCUCUGAUUUGAUUGCUCAUGAAGGAAUCAAGAAGAAGAGUUGGGGGCCUGUAGCCUGCCCUGUCCAUCUAAGGAGCACCGCCAGGAAGAGAAACCGUUUCCAGCUUGUCCUGAGUCCAGACCUGCUUUCUAAGCAACGCCUGCCUGCCUGCAACGUCAACAUUCCAGAGGACUAUGAGAAGUCUUGCUGUCGUUAAUGCUGCUGCCUGACACAUUCCUCACAUGGGGCGGUAUACAUUCGUCUGUGUUAAUCGGCUUAUUUCCCAUAGACGGUUUGCAUCCCAAUAAAGAUGGAUUUAAGGAACUCGAGGCACUGAAAAGUUAAGAGACUAAUUUUUGUAAAGGAUCACAUUCUCUCCAGUGUCCGGGCUGGUUGACGUCCAGAUAUGUCCAGGGAAAAGAGAGAGUGGCUGGAAGAAACUGAUCAGCAACACGAGGUGAUCCUUCAUUCUCUGACCAGACACCUCUUGCCACUGACUCAGCCAAACACUGCCACAUGCAUCUUCUCGGUGGAAUUUGGCACCUACUGC
Molecule: long non-coding RNA, 1259 nt
Organism: Alexandromys fortis (reed vole)
Lineage: Eukaryota; Metazoa; Chordata; Mammalia; Rodentia; Cricetidae
Exons: 4
Source: RefSeq, a predicted model, not a curated record